CCGGUUUUCUUCUUUAAAAUCUGUACAAAUUGAAUUCAGUGAUUUUUUAAUUUUCUUGUAAGUGUUUCUUUUUUGAUUUUAUGACAUUUAGAUUCCAUUGAGCCAAUUUUAUUUCGUCUGCAUUUAGAUAAGUAUAAUAUUUAAUUAAAAAUAAUAAAAUGUUAAAUUUAGAUAUACAUUUGUUUAGGUAUCUACUAUAUUAUUAUAUGCGCCUCUAUAAUAAUAUAUAAGUUGGAAAAACUAGAGGUAUAUAUCAUAGUAAUACAUAUGUUUAUAAAAGAUAAUACUAUAAUAUUAAAAACCUAUAUAGGUAAGUAAUAUUAGUCGGAAAAUACUAAAGAGUAGGUACAUAACAUUAAUAAUUUUAGUUUUUUAUAUUAUUAAAUAGAUUUUAAAUUAUUGUUAUAUAGAUACCUGUUAACACUUUUUAAAGUAUUAAUUAAAAACAAAUGUUUUUUUAUAUUAUUUUUAUCUUUUUUUGUUGUCUUUUUUUUCUAUAUGUUUUUUUUUCUUUAUUUUUUUUUUCUAGACUCUAUUUAUAACGAGUUCAAUGAUUAAUCACGCUAAUAGCAUUAAUGGGCUAAGAUCAUAUUGGAGAUUGAAUGAGGAAGAAGGGAGGCUAAAGAAUAAAGAUCUUCUAGAGCCAAGAAGCGUGGAAUCGAAACUAUAUUUACUUCAGUGUGAUAAAGAUAAGUAUAAUUCAGAUAGUUGGAAAGAUGAAUAUUAAAACUUAGUCAAACAAAGAAUUUACAACUUCUGAGUGUAGCAGAAAUGUAUUGAUUUUACAUAGAUAUUUAAUUAUUCAUUAUUAUUAUUUUUUAUAUACAGCGUACAAAAAUUCUACCAGAAAUUUUGCUUCGUAUUAAGUACGGAGAUAUGUUUACGGAGAUACUUUAGUAUCAAGUAUAGUACCUUUUCUAAAAGAGAAUUUUCCUAGGGUGGUACUUUAGGGAGGUCAUUUUUUGAUUUUCUCAGGAGUUUAUUUUAGGGAAAAGAAAUACAAUAUUAAACAAAUAUUAUUAAAAAAAUAUAUAAUGCAUAUAACAUAAUAUUAUAUAUUAUUGACAAAGCAACUCUAUUAACCGAACUCCAUUCAGAAUCUUUUUUUCAUUUUUAGUCGUUGCAUACACAUAUACAUUACAUUUCCCCUCUACCUUCCCAACAUCUCACUUACAGGCAACAACAGUGCCCCCCCCCCAACUUCAAAGUAUGUCCGUCCUUUUUAAAUUCUGAUUCAGUGACUUUUAUUAAAUAUUUUUAAUUUAUAGUAUAUAUUUGUAUAUUGUAGUAUUAUAAUAAUUUACAAACAAAUACUUCAUACUUAUUAGUCAACGAUCAGACUACUUUAGCGCUACCGGUGAUUUUGUAUCAAGUGCUUCCGUUGAAAAUUGCACUCGUUAUAAGUCAGUUCAGUAUUUUGUUAAAUUGCGCAAAUGUGAUGAUAUGCUCUCAAAUCCGUAAAACUAUCAGAAAUUAUAAAGUUUUGUAUAGCUUUAUGAUGAAUUCUACUAUAGUUAAAUAACCUGUUAGUUUUGAAUACUAGUACACUAUUAUCUGUUAUUGAGCUAAAAUAGUCCAUAACCCCAAUUCAGCAGUUCAGCAAAUUAGGCCUAUCCAUAAUUGAUUCAAAUUAUUCUUGUGACGCAGCAGUGGAAGAAAAAUUUAGUUUUAAUAUUGUUUAAACAUAAUUUUGCUUUUGUGUGUAUUUCAAUUGACAAUCAUCUUACUAAUAAUUAUUUUUAUUAUAAAGGUUAUAUUAAAUUAAAGAGUCAAGAUUAAUGAAAAUCCUAGAAAUGGUACAAUAAGGUUAUUUACAGUUGUAAUCGCAUUUACUAAUUUUAAUUCUAGUGUAAUGUAUGCAAGAAUGUUAAAAUAUUUUAGGACACAAUUACUUAUGUAUAAUAUUAUUAUAUAAAUAAAUAUAUAAAUAUUAUUAAAAAUUAAGCAUAUUAAAUUAAUU
RNAcentral lists this long non-coding RNA (1960 nucleotides) under Cinara cedri. Lineage: Eukaryota; Metazoa; Arthropoda; Insecta; Hemiptera; Aphididae. The record is from RNAcentral.